RNAcentral lists this ribosomal RNA (444 nucleotides) under uncultured bacterium. RNAcentral describes it as "bacterial SSU rRNA". It matches the Rfam family "Bacterial small subunit ribosomal RNA", at positions 338 to 795 of the family's 1533-position model. The record is from RNAcentral.
CCUACGGGGGGCAGCAGUAGGGAAUUUUCCGCAAUGGGCGAAAGCCUGACGGAGCAAUACCGCGUGAGGGAUGACUGCCUAUGGGUUGUAAACCUCUUUUUUCAGGGAGGAACAUAAUGACGUGUACCUGAAGAAUAAGCAUCGGCUAACUCCGUGCCAGCAGCCGCGGUAAGACGGAGGAUGCAAGUGUUAUCCGGAAUCACUGGGCGUAAAGCGUCUGUAGGUCGUUUAAUAAGUCAACUGUUAAAUCUUGAGGCUUAACCUCAAAAUCGCAAUCGAAACUGUUAAACUAGAGUAUAGUAGGGGUAAAGGGAAUUUCCAGUGGAGCGGUGAAAUGCGUAGAGAUUGGAAAGAACACCGAUGGCGAAGGCACUUUACUGGGCUAUUACUGACACUCAGAGACGAAAGCUAGGGUAGCAAAUGGGAUUAGAUACCCCAGUAGUC